GAUGAAGAACGUAGCGAAAUGCGAUACUUGGUGUGAAUUGCAGAAUCCCGUGAACCAUCGAGUCUUUGAACGCAAGUUGCGCCCGAAGCCAUCAGGUUGAGGGCACGUCUGCCUGGGCGUCACAUAUCGUUGCCCAAUGCCUAUUGCAGUGCAAUAGGAAUUUCUAGGGCGAAUGAUGGCUUCCCGUGAGCGUUGUUGCCUCGCGGUUGGUUGAAAAUCGAGUCCUUGGUAGGGUGUGCCAUGGUAGAUGGUGGUCGAGUUAGAACGAUACCGAUCAUGUGCAUGCUCCCCAAAAUAUGGCCUCUAUGACCCACACGCGUCUUUUGACGCUCAUGACGAGACCUCAGGUCAGGCGGGUCUACCCGCUGAAUUUAAGCAUAUCAAUAAGCGGAGGA
RNAcentral lists this unclassified non-coding RNA (395 nucleotides) under soil metagenome. RNAcentral describes it as "partial contains 5.8S ribosomal RNA, internal transcribed spacer 2, and large subunit ribosomal RNA". The stretch from base 1 to 122 matches the Rfam family "5.8S ribosomal RNA", at positions 35 to 154 of the family's 154-position model. The record is from RNAcentral.